ACAGAGGCGGCAAGCGUUGUUCGGAAUUAUUGGGCGUAAAGAGCAUGUAGGCGGCUAUGUAAGUCGGUUGUGAAAGCCUUCCGCUUAACGGAAGAAUGGCGGUCGAAACUGCAUGGCUUGAGUGCGGGAGGGGAGAGUGGAACUUCUGGUGGAGCGGUGAAAUGCGUAGAUAUCGGGAGGAAUACCGGUGGCGAAGGCGACGCUCUGGUCCAGCCCUGACACUGAGGCGCGAAAGCGUGGGGAGCAAACGG
Molecule: ribosomal RNA, 251 nt
Filed under: uncultured prokaryote
Description: partial 16S ribosomal RNA
Rfam family: Bacterial small subunit ribosomal RNA
Source: RNAcentral